RNAcentral lists this ribosomal RNA (540 nucleotides) under uncultured bacterium. RNAcentral's name for it is "bacterial SSU rRNA". It matches the Rfam family "Bacterial small subunit ribosomal RNA", at positions 355 to 896 of the family's 1533-position model. The record is from RNAcentral.
UGAGGAAUAUUGGCCAAUGGGCGCAAGCCUGAACCAGCCAAGUAGCGUGCAGGAAGACGGCCCUAUGGGUUGUAAACUGCUUUUAUACGAGAAUAAUUUGAUGCACGUGUGCGUUAUUGCAUGUAUCGUAUGAAUAAGGACCGGCUAAUUCCGUGCCAGCAGCCGCGGUAAUACGGAAGGUCCAGGCGUUAUCCGGAUUUAUUGGGUUUAAAGGGAGUGUAGGCGGUUUGUUAAGCGUGUUGUGAAAUUUAGGUGCUCAACAUUUAACUUGCAGCGCGAACUGUCAGACUUGAGUACACGCAACGUAUGCGGAAUUCAUGGUGUAGCGGUGAAAUGCUUAGAUAUCAUGAAGAACUCCGAUUGCGAAGGCAGCAUACGGGAGUGUAACUGACGCUUAAGCUCGAAGGUGCGGGUAUCGAACAGGAUUAGAUACCCUGGUAGUCCGCACAGUAAACGAUGGAUGCCCGCUGUUAGCGCCUGGCGUUAGCGGCUAAGCGAAAGCAUUAAGCAUCCCACCUGGGGAGUACGCCGGCAACGGUG